AUGCCGAACCAAAUUUAAAAUGGAAGCAGAAGAAGAAGGGGAAGAGAAGGAGGAAGAAGAAGAGAAGAAGGAGAAGGGAGGAGGAGAAAGGAGAGAAAAACGUGGGGGAAGGAAAUUCUUAAUUCUUCAUUAAACCCUAAUCAUGAAAAUAGUUCCCUAUAUAUAGGGCCCAAAUACACAAUUUGCAUAAACCCCCUUACACAGAAAUAAAUCCUAAUAAACCCACAAAUAACACAAAUAAACCACAAAUAAGCCCUAAAAUGCAAAUAAGCCCAGAAAUAAAAUAAACCACAAAUAAACCCUAGAAUGCAAAUAAGCUCAGAAAUAAAAUAAUAAAAUAAAUAUGCAAAUAAACGGGUCUGACUCAAUCCGGGGGCUCAGGAUCAUCUGGAUGAAGGGCUCUGAUGUCCCCAUCAG
Molecule: long non-coding RNA, 417 nt
Filed under: Phoenix dactylifera (date palm)
Lineage: Eukaryota; Viridiplantae; Streptophyta; Magnoliopsida; Arecales; Arecaceae
Description: long non-coding RNA (PDAC_LNC014816)
Source: RNAcentral